GUCCUCGUGGUGUAAUGGUCAGCACACUCGGCGCGUAUUCGAAAGGUCCUAGGUUCGAGUCCUGGCAAGAGCA
This 73-nucleotide transfer RNA is filed under the name Stegodyphus mimosarum. It matches the Rfam family "tRNA". From Rfam's summary of the family: Transfer RNA (tRNA) molecules are approximately 80 nucleotides in length. Their secondary structure includes four short double-helical elements and three loops (D, anti-codon, and T loops). Lineage: Eukaryota; Metazoa; Arthropoda; Arachnida; Araneae; Eresidae. The record is from Rfam by way of RNAcentral.